UACGGAGGAUGCGAGCGUUAUCCGGAUUUAUUGGGUUUAAAGGGUGCGCAGGCGGAUUUUUAAGUCAGCGGUCAAAUCGUGGGGCUCAACCCCAUCCAGCCGUUGAAACUGGGGAUCUAGAGUGUGCGAGAGGUAUGCGGAAUGUGUGGUGUAGCGGUGAAAUGCACAGAUAUCACGCAGAACCCCGAUUGCGAAGGCAGCAUACCGGUGCACAACUGACGCUCAGGCACGAAAGCGUGGGUAUCGAACAGG
RNAcentral lists this ribosomal RNA (252 nucleotides) under uncultured bacterium. Its description in RNAcentral is "partial 16S ribosomal RNA". It matches the Rfam family "Bacterial small subunit ribosomal RNA", at positions 524 to 776 of the family's 1533-position model. The record is from RNAcentral.